UUUACAUCAAAUACUUAACUGGACGUUAAGUAGGUAGACAACACUUCCGUGAAAAUUAAUACUGUCAUUUCUAUUUCCUUACGGCAAAGCAGACCUCUUCCUCUCUGCGUUCUCUUUCUCUUGAGUAUUUCUUCUGCAACAGAAACCUAUCAUUCUUCUCUGCCUCCGAAUGAAAAACUAAAAGAGCUAGAGAAGAAAAUUAUUCAUCACCACCGAAUCAACUCGAUCAAUCCUAAAUCCAAUUUGAUUCCAAACCCAACAUAAUAUACUUGCUACGUUACAACCGGAACAGAUUACUAUCCCAGAUUCCCAGAAUGCAUGAUUUUGAUAAGAGUGGAACUAUGAGCUUGAAGUUAGCCAAUUUCUUUUCAUUAUAAGCAAGAAGUGAUUCAACAAUGGCAUCUCAACUAUACUAGUGCUCUCACACAAAAACCCAGUAAUCAGAUAUUAAAGUCCCGUUUGUUACUGCUCAACGAAAACGUGGAACUAAAGUGUGCAUGUUUGAACAAUAAACUAUCUUCACGAGAUUCAGAUCGCAUGCAUUGGGACGGGGCGAGGCGAAGCCGAGCCACAUCAAAUCAAAAAUUCUAAGCGACGGGGUGGGCAGACCCCCCGCAACACCGAAUAAAAAUGAUGGUAGAUGGUUUUCGGGUUUCCCGGUGCGUAGCACGGGCACAAAAUCUAGUAUCAUUUAUUUAUUUAUUUAUCUUGUAGCCAAACCUCAAAUAAUAUGCCUAGGUCUCAAAUUUGGGAGGGAAGAGAAAGAAGGUCUACUCUACCCUUCUAGAUGGUGAGAUUUCUUAAUGAAUUUCCGUUUGCCUUGGAAUAAUGAAAAAAAAGACCUAUCAAAAUUGUGCGGUCAUAAAAUCCCCAUAUGCACAAACUUGGCGCUUUUGACUCUAUCCAUAGUUCCUUAAAGUUAUUCCCAAAUCAAUCAGAAAAGAGCCCCUCCCCUCUACAACUGUAUACAGUACACACCACACGCUCACGGAAGUUUUCACUUCCUAUAUAAACCUCAAUCACCGCCUUAGCGUUCACACAAAAACAAAUCCUACUUCUCCACCUCCUCAGCCAACAAAAACUAAUACAAACUUCUCUUCUGAUCUAAGUUUUCAAAACUCCAGCUCAUCAUCAAAUCUCUUCUGCAUCAACCAAAACUCUUAAUUUUAUUUUCUCAGAAAUAUCUCUAAUGGCAUCAAUUAGCAAAGGAGAAAACCAACAAAGAAAGCAAAGCACUAGUAGAUUGCAAAGGAGAGCACCAGCAUCGAUCCAAGUAAACCCAGCAUCAAGUUUUGCACAAGGAUGGAAAGCAGCGAUUCCCCUUCUAUCACCUCUAGCUAUGUCACCUACUUCACCACCGCCUAAUGGAGAUCGAACGGCUGAGGUCUCAUCAUCAUCAAUUUCAACAGAAAAAGCUAAUUUAAUCAAGAGUAACUGGCAACAUCCAUCGGCUCCAUUUCAUUACGAUCCAACUAAUAAUAUUAACAAACCUGCUAAACAAUUUGUACCUUCUUUUGUUCCUCGUUGUAGAUAGUAUCAGUGAUACAUCAUAUUUAGAUCUUAUGAUGUAUGCUUAAUUAUGUACUACCAUGGUUAAAUCCUUGCUAUCAAGAAAGUUAAAGGAUCAAUCAAGAUUCAGUAUAUAUACGGAUUACUAUACAGUAUUAAUAGUUGUGUAUUGCAUAUCGACGAUACCCAUGUCUUUUUCUUAUC
Papaver somniferum (opium poppy) is the source of this 1713-nucleotide long non-coding RNA. RefSeq lists it as uncharacterized. The transcript is spliced from 5 exons. Lineage: Eukaryota; Viridiplantae; Streptophyta; Magnoliopsida; Ranunculales; Papaveraceae. The record is from RefSeq and is a predicted model, not a curated record.